GAUGAGGAACGUAGCGAAAUGCGAUAAGUAAUGUGAAUUGCAGAAUUCAGUGAAUCAUCGAAUCUUUGAACGCACAUUGCGCCCGCCAGUAUUCUGGCGGGCAUGCCUGUUCGAGCGUCAUUUCAACCCUCAGGCCCCCAGUGCCUGGUGUUGGGGAUCGGCCCAGCCUUCCUGUAAGGCCGCCGGCCCCGAAAUCUAGUGGCGGUCUCGCUGUAGUCCUCCUCUGCGUAGUAGCACAACCUCGCAGUUGGAACGCGGCGGUGGCCAUGCCGUUAAACACCCCACUUCUGAAAGUUGACCUCGGAUCAGGUAGGAAUACCCGCUGAACUUAAGCAUAUCAAUAAGCGGAGGA
RNAcentral lists this unclassified non-coding RNA (352 nucleotides) under soil metagenome. RNAcentral's name for it is "partial contains 5.8S ribosomal RNA, internal transcribed spacer 2, and large subunit ribosomal RNA". The stretch from base 1 to 120 matches the Rfam family "5.8S ribosomal RNA", at positions 35 to 154 of the family's 154-position model. The record is from RNAcentral.